AGAACGAACGCUGGCGGCAGGCCUCAAACAUGCAAGUCUAGGGGGUGUAGCAAUACAUCACCGGCGGACGGGUGCGUAACGCGUGGGAAUAUACCUUUUGGUUCGGAACAACUCAGGGAAACUUGAGCUAAUACCGGAUGUGCCCUUCGGGGGAAAGAUUUAUCGCCAUUGGAGCGGCCCGCGUCUGAUUAGCUAGUUGGUGGGGUAAAGGCCUACCAAGGCUACGAUCAGUAGCUGGUCUGAGAGGAUGAUCAGCCACACUGGGACUGAGACACGGCCCAGACUCCUACGGGAGGCAGCAGUAGGGAAUCUGCGCAAUGGGCGAAAGCCUGACGCAGCCAUGCCGCGUGAAUGAUGAAGGUCUUAGGAUUGUAAAAUUCUUUCAGCGGGGACAUAAUGACGGUACCCGCAGAAGAACGCCCGGCUAACUUCGCGCCAGCAGCCGC
Molecule: ribosomal RNA, 446 nt
Filed under: uncultured bacterium
Lineage: Bacteria
Description: SSU rRNA
Rfam family: Bacterial small subunit ribosomal RNA
Source: RNAcentral